Molecule: long non-coding RNA, 262 nt
Filed under: Rattus norvegicus (Norway rat)
Lineage: Eukaryota; Metazoa; Chordata; Mammalia; Rodentia; Muridae
Description: long non-coding RNA NONRATT013100
Source: RNAcentral
ACCUACCUACCUACCUGGUUGAAUUAUACUUUGGGCAUCUGGGAUGCAGAGAGCACCAGUCCUCCCAGCACUCCGCGCUGUCCUGGAAAUGGAAAGUGAGCUGACUGUUAAGCCAAGUCCUGAAGAGAGAGACCUGAGAGCCCUCAGGAGUCUGAGGCCAGCAAAGACAGGAUCCUUUCCUGACAAUCACUGACCCGUCCACGAGGGGCUCGUCUAAUAGAAAGUAACCAAAUUCCCCUAUGAUUCCAGAGCCACUGUGAUG